AAGUAUAACUCCAACUUCCAGGCUCAGGACCCUCAUCCCUCACCUCCUCCUGCCAAGAUCACCCCAAGCAGAAACCAGUAGGCAUAAUAAUUAGGAUCAUAACAAACUCUACCUCACGGGGCUGACCCGAAGGGAUGAUGCAUAGCAGAACACAUGGCUCAGCUGGCCAGCCGGCAGGUCUUAGCAGGUCAUAGUGGCGGAAUGACCAGCCCACAAGUCUUAGCAGGUCGCAAUGGUGGAUGCAGGAUGUUUCUGCCUGACCAGCCUCCAUUCUCACUUCCGCCUUGCUGCUGGGGCUACCUUUCACCCACAUGCAGGCUUACUUGCCUGCACCCCCGGCAUGGCCCAAGAACCAGUUCUCUGAGUUCAGCCAGGACUUCCAAGAACCUAGCACAGCCAGUCCCUUCUCCCACAGAGCACUGUGAACAUCCCCAAGACAGAAACGAUGUGUUGCUCACCACAGCCUGGGCCCUACAGCUGGCCUGUCACAGGGCUGGUGACGACCGAAUGAAAGGAAAUGCCUAAUGUUUUCUGAGCACUUGCUACAUGCCGGGCACAGAGCCAGGGAUGCCCACAUGGAGAGGGCCUGCCUCACAGUGAAGACAGUAGGAAGGAAAGCAGAGGUAAGAGUUGAAAAGUCCAAAUCCAUAUAUGAACACUGCGAUUCCGCCAUUCCCGAAGCUAGUUACCCUCCAGACUUUUCAGUUCCAGGAGGCAAUGAAACCCCUUUUCUGCUUAUGCCCGUUAGGUUUGGAUUUUCUGUCACUUGCUACUAAGACAGCCCUCACUGACCAAGUGAAGCUCAGAGAUGGGACCCAACACACCCAAGGUCACAUAGCUACGAAAGCAGUGGAACAGAAACUCCCAUGAAAGUCUGGGCUUUUUUUUUUUUUUUUGAGACAGUCUUGCUCUGUGUCCAAGGCUGGAGUGCAGUGGCACGACCUAGGCUCACUGCAACCUCUGCCUCCCAGGUUCAAGCGAUUCUCCUGCCUCAGCCUCCCAAGUAGCUGGGAUUACCGGCAUGCGCCACCACGCCCGGCUAAUUUUUGUAUUUUUAGUAGAGAUGGGGUUUCACCAUAUUGGUCAGGCUGGUCUCGAUCUCCUGACCUCAAGUGAUCCGCCCGCCUUGGCCUCCCAAGGUCUGGGCUCUUAACCACAGCCUGACCACACCCCAGGCCCGGCUGAUAGCCACUUCAAUGCUCCCACACGCUGAGUACAGUCCAGAUACCCACUCUGCCGGCGGAGUCCCCUCACCUCUUUCCCAGAAGCCACUGGAGUUACACUGGUUGGGAUUUUUGGGCAUUGGUUUGCAAGUCCAUCAGAUGGGGCUAAUGAGCUCACCCUUGCAUGCAGGUCAGAGGACAGCUCACACUGGCCUAGCCCACAAGGGACUCAGGGAAUGAAGGCCACAGUGUGGACCCUCCAACCUGCCCUCAGCUGCCUGAUGGCCUACAGGUGUUUUCUAAUAGGUGACAUGUGUCCAUUAAAAUAAAAUACAACCAACCGCUUACCCCUCCUUGCGCCCAUCUCCUUCCUCUGCCCUACUCUCCUUCACAGAACAUGUCAUCCCCAUGACCUAUCAUGCAUGCAUUGCGUUAGUCAUAUAUUGCUUGACUCCCCAACACCAAGAAGGGAAGGGAUGGUUUAUCUGAUUUAUCACCUUUGUACUCUCAGAGACAAGACAGUACUUGGCACACAGUAGGUGCCCAAUAAAUGUUUGUUGAAUGACUGAAUUAACAAAUGAAUGAUGUGCAUGAAACUCUGCACAGAGUCAUGGAGUGCUUAAAGGCUCCUGGUUACACCUGGCCAUUUCACAGGUGAGGACAUGAGGCCUCAGGAUGGGCUCCCCUGAAGUCCCCAGGCAGGCAGCAGGGGCUCUGAUCUGCUCUGUGCCUCUGCUGGGCUGGACCGAAAUGGGCCUUGAACACAGGUGUGGGCAGCCACCUGGCCAGGCUCCCCAGCUUGAGCCCUGGCGCCCAACAAAGGCAGGUUGCUGCUGGAGGUAGCUGAGCUGGAGGCCAGAGCCCUGGGCUCUGAGCUGUAACCCCUGAACCUGACCUCUUGGGGUCCUUGGGCCAACAGCCCCUGGCUCACUGGGGUCAUCAAGCCUCCCCUAACCAGCCUGAGGGGCACUGUGCCCUGGUAAAUCUCUCAGUGAGAUGGGAACCCAGAGUCACCUACGCCCACAGGGAGAUUCCCCACAGAGGCCUGCUUCACCAUCUAAGCCUCACAACAACCCCGGAAGGGAGGACUUUCGCUAUGGGUUAUAUGGAAACCCAGGCCCAGAGAUGUUGGGACAUCUGUCCCAUGUCACAUGGCUGGGGCACACUGGGGAGCUGGGAUUUGAGACAGAGUGACUGACCCCUCAGGGCACUGAGCAGCCUUCUGUCUGCAGCGUGGGGGCAGGGGUGAAGGUGCCCAUUGCUUCCUUAUCACUGGGCCUCACUUUUUCCAUCUGCCACUGGUUGGGCUCCAGUCCUAAGGAAAGGGCUAUCUGUCUUGCCUGCCCCCAAGAGCCAGGGCUGGGGUGGGGGAGGCUUGGCUGGGAGUGAGAGCUCCCAGGCUGCUCCCUGAGGCUGGGUCGGUAAAAGCUUCCUCUGACCCAUCUGUUGAACUCCCUGAUGACCCCAGUGAGCCAGGGGCUGUUGGCCCAAGGACCCCAAGAGGUCAGGCUCAGGGGUUACAGCUCAGAACCCAGGGAACAUCCCCCAACACGCUCCCAGCCCCAGGGAUCUACAGAUCCUCAAGGUUCCACUCUGGAUCAUUUCAGAAAGAUACUGAACUUGUCAGUGGGUCAAGGGGCUCCUGGGGGGACACAUACUGGGCUACUGCCAGAUGGGAAAUGGCCCCAGCGAGCCUGGGGCAGGGAAGACUUCUGCAAGGCAGUGUCUCCUCAACACAGCCUGGGGAAGCCUUGUGUUCCCUCAGCCAUAAACCUCCAUUUGCUCAAAGUUUAUGCACCAUAGGGUUGAGGGGGGCAGCAGUGUGGGAAGGAAACACACCAAAUAUGCUCCAGGAGCCCUGGGCCACUGUGUGACUUCUGAGGGCCUCUGAGGACUUCUGACUUCUGUGUGACUUCUGAGGGCCUCAGUUUACUCGGCUGUAAACUGGGCAUUGUCAAGAGUCCAUCUUUCUCAGGGUGGUUGUGAGGGCCGUAGGCAGCGACCCAACACUCCCUGCCAUCCAGGUGGGCUGCGGGGCCCUGGUUCUCAACCCUAAUGGGGCCUGGGGCUGGUCUAACGCGCAGGGGAGCUAAAGAACUUCCCCUUGCGGCUGUGGGGAAACACCUGGUGUUCCUGGGCCCAGGGCGAGCCUGUGUGCAUUCCAGGCAGUGAGAAACGGGUCACAGAAUACAGCUCUGAGAAACAGUGAAAACUCUGACGACAGCCCCCAAGACCCUCACCACGGCAGGCUGCCCUGACAGUCGCCAGCCCCUCACAGGUUUCUCAGGGCUGCUGAGGUCCCCUCCCCGGGCCAGGUGGGUGGUACUCACAGUCUCAAAGUGGAGGGGGCGGAGGUGUCCCUGGAACCCCAGUGCCUGGCCUGCCUCUGCGGCCCCGGGGGAUGAGCUGUGGGUCCAUCCCCACAGCAGGUCCUGACGUCUGACUUCCUCCCUGCUCAGUCGGCAUCCAGGAAACCACACCCAGGGGAGAGGGUGCCAGGCACCCUGGGGCCCCCGCCCACCUGCCCUCCAAAAGGCCCCCAGGCACUGCUGAGGGGGCUCCUUCCAGGUCUGGCAAACCCAAAUGGCUUCACUGGGCAGGCCCCAGUCAAUAAAUAAUACACCCACCUCCCUGGACAGUCUCUGGUGCCUGAUCGUGUUUCAGGGCCACUUAAGUUCCAGGCAGACUGCUUUGUUCAGAGUGCCGGGCCCCUUCUGGGUCUCUGGCCACAUGGGCACUGCACUGUCACGGAGGGCCAGCUGGAGCCAGCAGCAUAAAGUAGUGUGACAGGGGUCCCUGGAGAGAGGGUGCCCUACUUACUUAGCAGCUUGGGCCCAAAGGGGACCCAGGGGUGGUGCCAGGGUAGGGUGGCCAGUCUCGUCUCCCCAUGGCCAGGCAGGGCCCCCCACAUCCCCCACAGGGGUGCCAUCUGGAGAGCCGCCACCAGCCCAUCCUGACAUUGCCAGUGUCCGGGCCCAGGCCCCUCCUCCAGGA
Molecule: long non-coding RNA, 4157 nt
Filed under: Homo sapiens (human)
Lineage: Eukaryota; Metazoa; Chordata; Mammalia; Primates; Hominidae
Description: non-protein coding lnc-CAND2-2:3
Source: RNAcentral